GGGGAUUUAGCUCAAUGGUAGAGCGCUUGCCUAGCAAGCACAAGGCCCUGGGUUCAGUCCCCAGCUCCG
Molecule: transfer RNA, 69 nt
Filed under: Rattus norvegicus (Norway rat)
Lineage: Eukaryota; Metazoa; Chordata; Mammalia; Rodentia; Muridae
Rfam family: tRNA
About the family: Transfer RNA (tRNA) molecules are approximately 80 nucleotides in length. Their secondary structure includes four short double-helical elements and three loops (D, anti-codon, and T loops).
Source: Rfam by way of RNAcentral